RNAcentral lists this ribosomal RNA (253 nucleotides) under uncultured bacterium. Its description in RNAcentral is "partial 16S ribosomal RNA". It matches the Rfam family "Bacterial small subunit ribosomal RNA", at positions 524 to 776 of the family's 1533-position model. The record is from RNAcentral.
CACGGGGGGAGCAAGCGUUGUUCGGAAUCACUGGGCGUAAAGGGCGUGUAGGCGGCUCGGUAAGUGGGAUGUGAAAUGCCCCGGCUCACCCGGGGACCUGCAUCCCAAACUGCUGGGCUUGAGUAUGGGAGAGGAUGAGGGAAUUCCUGGUGUAGCGGUGAAAUGCGUAGAUAUCAGGAGGAACACCGGUGGCGAAAGCGCUCAUCUGGCCCAAUACUGACGCUGAGGCGCGAAAGCUAGGGGAGCAAACGGG